Molecule: transfer RNA, 74 nt
Filed under: bacterium
Lineage: Bacteria
Description: tRNA-Met
Rfam family: tRNA
About the family: Transfer RNA (tRNA) molecules are approximately 80 nucleotides in length. Their secondary structure includes four short double-helical elements and three loops (D, anti-codon, and T loops).
Source: RNAcentral
GGCGGUGUAGCUCAGUUGGUUAGAGCAGCGGAAUCAUAAUCCGCGUGUCGGGGGUUCGAGUCCCUUCACCGCUA